ACUGCCGUGAAUACGUUCCCGGGCCUUGUACACACCGCCCGCCACACAUGAGAGUUGGAGAUACCCGAAGCCUGUGAGCUAACAAACGAGGCAGCAGUCGAAGGUAGAAUCAAUGAUUGGGGUGAAGUCGUAACAAGGUACC
RNAcentral lists this ribosomal RNA (142 nucleotides) under uncultured bacterium. RNAcentral describes it as "partial 16S ribosomal RNA". It matches the Rfam family "Bacterial small subunit ribosomal RNA", at positions 1356 to 1500 of the family's 1533-position model. The record is from RNAcentral.